Molecule: long non-coding RNA, 1025 nt
Organism: Brachypodium distachyon (stiff brome)
Lineage: Eukaryota; Viridiplantae; Streptophyta; Magnoliopsida; Poales; Poaceae
Exons: 2
Source: RefSeq, a predicted model, not a curated record
AGAGCCCCUAUUCCAGGGAGGCUUGUAGAAACACCUCCCAAGCCCCCGUUCCAGGGACUCCCGAGGGAGGCCCCUAUCCCGUGUCCCGUGCCACAUCAGAUUUCUUCCUAUGCCCAUCGUCCCCCCGUGCGUGCCCCGUCCCCGUCAGCCCUCCUUCACCGGCCGCUCCCCCUUGCCCUCCCCUCACUGCCGCCUUGGCCGUCCGUGGCCAUGCUCGCCGUCUCCGCCCGUGACCGCCGUCGCGCCGCGUCCCCAUCUCCUCUCCCCGCCGCGUCGCCCUUCUCCUCCUCCCGCCACGCCUGUCUCCUCCUUUAGCCUGCGCCCUCGGUUGUCGACGCCGUCCGCUGGCCCCGCGCGCGCUCGCACCUCCGCCUGAGCCUCCUAUUCCGGCGACUGCACUCGCGCGCACCCGCCUCCUCCACCCGCCUCCGACCACGCCCUCGCCACCGUCCGCCUCCCACCGCCGCACCCUUCGCGCGUAGGGAAGUAGGGCAAGCCCUCCCGCUGCAUCUCCCUAGUUGGUCUCUCGCACGAGCUCGGGGAGGAAGACGAGAAAAUGACAUGUCUCACUGACAGAUGAGCUUCAUAUGUCAUUGUAACGGAACAAUCAAGUAGGGGCUGAAAUAUAAGGGCUCCUGCUGAAGAUGAAACUAAAAUAAGGUCUUGAAAGCCUCUAAAUAACAUCUAGUACCGCUGAAAAUGCUCUAAACAUGAUUUGAUAUGAAUUCUUGGAUAUGAUACUGAUCAGUGAUGUCUGGUGGCUUCCGAUUCUUAAGCACCAGGUUCACGAGGAAAUCAGGCGUGGUGCCAAUAUGGCAGCACAUGUACUCAAGAAAUCAAUCCGAGUUGUUGGGUCUACAAAGCAGUAAAGCACAUGGCUACCAUUUAGUGAUACCUUCUUUCUUAAAUACAGUAUAAGUCAUAAGUCAAUCUAUUUAAAGUUUGUAGAAAAAAAAACAUCAACACCCAGAAUGUUAAAUAAUAUACUGUGCAAAUAUAUAUCAUUAUGGAUUUAAUAAAACUAA